RNAcentral lists this microRNA precursor (59 nucleotides) under Centruroides sculpturatus (bark scorpion). RNAcentral describes it as "Csc-Mir-5735_pre stem-loop". The record is from RNAcentral. Lineage: Eukaryota; Metazoa; Arthropoda; Arachnida; Scorpiones; Buthidae.
ACCUUUCUCAUGUUGUCUACUGUGUCUAUCGAAAUCAGUGGACAACAAGAUAAAGGCGU